Triticum urartu is the source of this 2086-nucleotide non-coding RNA. The record is from RefSeq and is a predicted model, not a curated record. Lineage: Eukaryota; Viridiplantae; Streptophyta; Magnoliopsida; Poales; Poaceae.
GGUCCCGCGCAGGCCGCCGACACGCUCCGCACCGCACUCGCCAUGGGCGCCGACUGCGCCGUCCACGUCCUCCACGACCCCGACCCGACCCCGCCCGCCCGCUCCUCCCGCUUGCCGUCGCCAAGAUCCUCCGCAUCCUCGCGCUCCAGGAGACCCCCGGCCUCCUCAUCCUCGGCAAGCAGUGCUCCCUCCAGGUGAAGUCGCCCACCGCAGCGCCAAGGGAUUCGUCUCCGAGGACGAGUUCCUCUCCAUCCCGGAGUUCUCCACCAACCGCUCUCCCAGAGGUUGCUACGUAUGGUUGAUGGAUUGAACUUCAAGGAAUUUGUUUCUUUUCUCUCUACCUUCAGCGCAAGGGCCAGCCUUCAGCAAAAGAUUGAGUUGAUAUUUAAGGUGUAUGACAUUGAUGGCAAGGGGAAAGUAUCCUUCAAGGACCUGGUAGAGAUUUUACGGGACCUAACAGGCUCAUCCAUGUCAGAGAAACAAAGAGAGGUUCUGAUUUGAUCCAAUCCUAUAUUUCAUUGCAUAGUACUACAUUCACUUGCAAGUACACUUGCUAAAUCAACAAGAACAAAUGUGGCUCUUUCCUUGUUUCCUUUUCAAAUAAUUUGUACCCUGCCAUCAUAAACACAUCAAGUGUGCAUAACUUGUUUCCAAAGUGAAGGGAACCCUGACACUAAAUUGUAGGUUUCUUCAUUGCAGUAAAUGUUCAGAGUAGCAUGCUUCGCAGUGCAAAUUCCUAUGUUGAUAUUUACUACUACCUCUGUUCGUAAAUACAAGACUUUUAUUUACGAACAGAGGAGCAUUAGCUAGAAAAUAUAGCCUUGUGUGGAACCAAUCCUUGUGUAUCUAAGAGCUAAACAAACAUGCCAUACAAGGAAAUGGAAGGCUUGCGUAGUUUCAACUGUUCGUUGCCAAUGAUUAAUCAUCUUGUUUGUUUUUUGGCUGCAUCUGACAUACAUUCUUAUGCCUGUUUACUCCAGUUCAGGCUCACGUUUCGUGGCUGAAAGGAAAACGAGCCUAUGCUUGCACCAACAUUAUUAGAAUGAGGUGUGGGCAUGUAUCAUUUUUUAAACUCUGCUAUCUUUUCCCAAGUCUUUAUUAUCUUGCCUAGCCUUGUACUGAUAUGUAUUGUUUGCUGCUAAUUACCCAAGAUAGUGCGUGAUGUUAAGGAUAACCUGAGAACACAUGCCUAAGUUUAUAAGAUAUGACAUGUGACAGUGCUGCUGCUGUUUGAAUGCUUCUACUGCUAGCUGCUUGCUUGAAUAGGUGUGCACUUGUGCUGGUGGUGGUGCUGCUUGUGCUGCUACUGCUCGUACUUGUGCUGCUAAGAACAUUGAAUAUAAUCAUUCUUGUUGGAUCGUGCAGACAUGUAUGUGCUGCUAAUUCUUGUGCUGCUAACACAUUCUUGUACUGCUCAUUCUUGUGAUGCUUAAGCUGUUGAUUGCCUAAUUUUAUUCAUCGUCUCCAUAAUAAUUUCAUUUGAUUGCCUGCUACAUCUCCACUUAAAUACUCAUAAUGCUACUGUCUAGGUUUUGUUCAAUUGGACUGACUAUAUAUCUCUUGUUAAAAUUGUGGUCUUGAUCUUUUGUUUAAACCUGAGACAUCAUGCAUAACUAGCUCUUCCUUUUCAGUCUAAACCUGAGACCUCUUUUGUUCUAUAUUCAGAUCCGACUGAUGGCCACAGUGCUGUUUUGCUGUGCUUGAUAAACCUGAGACUUCUUUUUAUUGUAAUAUUGAAGUUGUUUGGUUCUGGCCUCAGCAGCAGUACACUCUAAUUUUGGUGGCCUUUAUGUUCAUUCUUUUACAGGAGCUCCAGGCCUAUUUUUUUGGAGUGUGAAGCCGUGAAGCCAAGUGUGAAGCAGUACUUAGCAAAGAGUUUUUGGUUCUGUACUUGGCAAAGAGUUUUUGGUUCUGAAGUGUGAAGCCAGGUGUAAAUUGUAAUAUUGUAAAAGUCUAAUGUAGUGUUAAUGAAUUAUAUCUGUUCUGUCCUAUUUGAAAUAAUGAUUAUGUAUGUUGAAAAGAUGUGAAAUGGAAACUUGACCAGUGGGACCCAGUUAUGAAUAUAAUCUGAGCAAUUUUGAAAUUU